RNAcentral lists this ribosomal RNA (439 nucleotides) under uncultured bacterium. RNAcentral describes it as "partial 16S ribosomal RNA". It matches the Rfam family "Bacterial small subunit ribosomal RNA", at positions 339 to 795 of the family's 1533-position model. The record is from RNAcentral.
CUACGGGAUGCUCCAGUGAGGAAUAUUGCACAAUGGGGGGAACCCUGAUGCAGCAACGCCGCGUGGAGGAUGACGCAUUUCGGUGUGUAAACUCCUUUUAUAUGUCAAGAAAAUGACGGUAGCAUAUGAAUAAGCACCGGCUAACUCCGUGCCAGCAGCCGCGGUAAUACGGAGGGCGCAAGCGUUACUCGGAAUCACUGGGCGGAAAGAGCGUGUAGGCGGGUUGGAAAGUCAGGUGUGAAAUCCUACAGCUUAACUGUAGAACUGCACUUGAAACUUCUAAUCUAGAGUAUGGGAGGGGGAGAUGGAAUUAGUGGUGUAGGGGUAAAAUCCGUAGAUAUCACUAGGAAUACCUAAAGCGAAGGCGAUCUCCUGGAACAUUACUGACGCUAAGGCGUGAAAGCGUGGGGAGCAAACAGGAUUAGAUACCCGAGUAGUC